CAGGAUGAACGCUGGCGGCGUGCUUAACACAUGCAAGUCGAACGGGAAUUACAUUUUAGCUUGCUAAGUUGUAAUUCUAGUGGCGGACGGGUGAGUAACGCGUGGGUAACCUGCCUUAUACAGGGGGACAACAGUUGGAAACGACUGCUAGUACCGCAUAAGCGCACAGAUAGGCAUCUAUCAGUGUGAAAAACUCCGGUGGUAUAAGAUGGACCCGCGUCUGAUUAGCUAGUUGGUGAGGUAACGGCCCACCAAGGCGACGAUCAGUAGCCGGCCUGAGAGGGCAAUCGGCCACAUUGGGACUGAGACACGGCCCAAACUCCUACGGGAGGCAGCAGUGGGGAAUAUUGCACAAUGGAGGAAACUCUGAUGCAAGCGACGCCGCGUGAGUGAAGAAGUAUUUCGGUAUGUAAAGCUCUAUCAGCAGGAAAGAAAAUGACGGUACCUGACUAAGAAGCCCCGGCUAACUACGUGCCAGCAGCGGC
RNAcentral lists this ribosomal RNA (485 nucleotides) under uncultured bacterium. Its description in RNAcentral is "bacterial SSU rRNA". It matches the Rfam family "Bacterial small subunit ribosomal RNA", at positions 25 to 518 of the family's 1533-position model. The record is from RNAcentral.